AUUUGAGAGUUUGAUCCUGGCUCAGGACGAACGCUGGCGGCGUGCCUAAUACAUGCAAGUUGAGCGCUGAAGGUUGGUACUUGUACCGACUGGAUGAGCAGCGAACGGGUGAGUAACGCGUGGGGAAUCUGCCUUUGAGCGGGGGACAACAUUUGGAAACGAAUGCUAAUACCGCAUAAAAACUUUAAACACAAGUUUUAAGUUUGAAAGAUGCAAUUGCAUCACUCAAAGAUGAUCCCGCGUUGUAUUAGCUAGUUGGUGAGGUAAAGGCUCACCAAGGCGAUGAUACAUAGCCGACCUGAGAGGGUGAUCGGCCACAUUGGGACUGAGACACGGCCCAAACUCCUACGGGAGGCAGCAGUAGGGAAUCUUCGGCAAUGGACGAAAGUCUGACCGAGCAACGCCGCGUGAGUGAAGAAGGUUUUCGGAUCGUAAAACUCUGUUGGUAGAGAAGAACGUUGGUGAGAGUGGAAAGCUCAUCAAGUGACGGUAACUACCCAGAAAGGGACGGCUAACUACGUGCCAGCAGCCGCGGUAAUACGUAGGUCCCGAGCGUUGUCCGGAUUUAUUGGGCGUAAAGCGAGCGCAGGUGGUUUAUUAAGUCUGGUGUAAAAGGCAGUGGCUCAACCAUUGUAUGCAUUGGAAACUGGUAGACUUGAGUGCAGGAGAGGAGAGUGGAAUUCCAUGUGUAGCGGUGAAAUGCGUAGAUAUAUGGAGGAACACCGGUGGCGAAAGCGGCUCUCUGGCCUGUAACUGACACUGAGGCUCGAAAGCGUGGGGAGCAAACAGGAUUAGAUACCCUGGUAUCCACGCCGUAAACGAUGAGUGCUAGAUGUAGGGAGCUAUAAGUUCUCUGUAUCGCAGCUAACGCAAUAAGCACUCCGCCUGGGGAGUACGACCGCAAGGUUGAAACUCAAAGGAAUUGACGGGGGCCCGCACAAGCGGUGGAGCAUGUGGUUUAAUUCAAGCAACGCGAAGAACCUUACCAGGUCUUGACAUACUCGUGCUAUUCCUAGAGAUAGGAAGUUCCUUCGGGACACGGGAUACAGGUGGUGCAUGGUUGUCGUCAGCUCGUGUCGUGAGAUGUUGGGUUAAGUCCCGCAACGAGCGCAACCCCUAUUGUUAGUUGCCAUCAUUAAGUUGGGCACUCUAACGAGACUGCCGGUGAUAAACCGGAGGAAGGUGGGGAUGACGUCAAAUCAUCAUGCCCCUUAUGACCUGGGCUACACACGUGCUACAAUGGAUGGUACAACGAGUCGCGAGACAGUGAUGUUUAGCUAAUCUCUUAAAACCAUUCUCAGUUCGGAUUGUAGGCUGCAACUCGCCUACAUGAAGUCGGAAUCGCUAGUAAUCGCGGAUCAGCACGCCGCGGUGAAUACGUUCCCGGGCCUUGUACACACCGCCCGUCACACCACGGGAGUUGGGAGUACCCGAAGUAGGUUGCCUAACCGCAAGGAGGGCGCUUCCUAAGGUAAGACCGAUGACUGGGGUGAAGUCGUAACAAGGUAGCCGUAUCGGAAGGUGCGGCUGGAUCACCUCCUUU
RNAcentral lists this ribosomal RNA (1543 nucleotides) under Lactococcus lactis. RNAcentral describes it as "bacterial SSU rRNA". It matches the Rfam family "Bacterial small subunit ribosomal RNA". Lineage: Bacteria; Bacillati; Bacillota; Bacilli; Lactobacillales; Streptococcaceae. The record is from RNAcentral.